CUUUAUUUUUCUAUGUUAAUCCGGAGGCCUUUUUCACAUGCACACAUUUUUAACAUAAUUGGAAUAGUAUCCAUCGGGUUGGCAGAGUUUUCUCUAAAGGGCCAGAUCGUAAAUAUUUUAGAUUUUGAGGGCCAUGUGGUCUGGCACCACUACUCAGCUCUGCCUUUGUAGCUCCAAAGCAGUCUUAGAGGCUACGGAAACGAACAGGUGUGGCUGUGUGCCAAGUAUACGAUUUAGGGAAAUAGGUGGUAGGCCCUCAGGCCUUAUUUUGAAGGCCCCUGAUGUACAUAAUUCAUUGUGAUCUGUCUUGUUCUUUUGUCAUACGAAUAUUUUCUGAGUAAUCAUCAAAAUUCUUUUUAACAUUUCCAUGUAUUGGUGAAAUCAUUUUCCUGUUCUUGGACAUUUUUGUGUUACCCAGUUUUGUUUGUGCUAUUAUAUUAAUCUUUAUAUUGUUAAUGUUUUAAGUAGCAGUUUAUCAGACUUGUUUUUGUUUAUAUAAUUUUAAAAUCUUGAUUGCAUUUUUAAGAAUAGUUUUAUUCUGGAACAAAACUUUUUCCACUGGAAUAUUUCCUUGGUUUUAAAAUAGUCUGUGGACAGAUAGAAUUCACUGAAUAGAGUGUUUUAACAUCAAACUUUUAGUGCAUCCAUGUUACAUGCAGGCCAUCUAAGUUGUACUAUAGCUGUUUAAUCAAGAAAUUUGAGUAAGUUUCCUUCAGCUGCAUCCAGGUGGUUGUAGGCUGCUCUUUCUUUGGAGGGUCUCCUUCCUUGUUUGUAUGUAUUCAACUGGCCCUGGAGAGCAUGCUUUGAAGGAGCACUCCUCACUUGUUUUCGUGCGUCUUCUCUCCUGCUGCCUCCACUGUAGUUCGGGAAUUACCGUGUACCUUCGAAGAGCACUUGGAAGUGACACACCACUUUCACACUUCGACGCUUCCCCUCACACUGAUUCUGAAUGACAGUCUCUUGCAAGUGAACCUGCAGCUAGGUCCCAUGGCCCUUCCAAUUUUGAGUCCCCGACUCUGCUCGGCUGCGGCUUCCAAGAAGUGAAAGUUCGUUAGCAUCUACCCUGAAGACGCUGCUCUUCUUCACAGCUUUAAUGAUCACUGUACCUAUUGGCUUAUAUUUCACAACUAAAUCUUACAUU
This 1141-nucleotide long non-coding RNA is filed under the name Equus caballus (horse). RNAcentral's name for it is "lncRNA (ENSECAG00000041325.2)". Lineage: Eukaryota; Metazoa; Chordata; Mammalia; Perissodactyla; Equidae. The record is from RNAcentral.